This is a small nuclear RNA of Nannospalax galili (Upper Galilee mountains blind mole rat), 107 nucleotides long. Lineage: Eukaryota; Metazoa; Chordata; Mammalia; Rodentia; Spalacidae. The record is from Ensembl.
GUGGUGGCUUCAGGAGAACACAUACUAAAAACGGAAUGGUACAGAGAAGGUUAGCAUGGCCCCUGUGCAUUGAUGACGUACACAGUGGUGAAGCAUUCCAUAUUUUU